UCAUGGCAAUCAAAACAAUAUAAAUAUAUGCCUCAUACACCAUACAAGUAGGCCACAGUUAAUCAAACAAGUAAGGUAUAAACAAAUAUAUAAUCGAAUCAAAUAAUCAAAGAAUGAAAUAAUAAAGCAUUAAACAAUGUAUGAGUGUAAGUGCAAAGGAACCGGCUCAUUGUAAGAAAGCCCAAGAGUAAGCUAUGUGAGGUCGAUGGCGAUGCUUAAGAAGCAAUCGACUUACAAGGGUGUGAAAAAUGGGCUCGAUAUUAAAUCGAGAAAAGUAUGAUUUUUAUAGUUUGAAAAAAAUGGUUUUUGAACUAUGCAUUUACUAACAAAUGAAAUUAUAAUAGACAUAAAAAAAGAUAUUAACAAAAUACUAAAAGAAUAAAAAAUGCUAAAAGAAAAAUAAUAUAACUAAGAGAAAUAAAAAUGCCAAAAAAAUACCACACAUGAGUGUUGAACCCACCCCACUCAAGAAUAUGCACACUUCCCUUCUCCACCAGACCACUCAGGGUUAUUUAAUAUUUUGAUGCUACUUUAAAUAUAUGAACUGGAAUAAAAAUUUAAAAUAAAAAAACAAAAUAAAUAUUUUCAUGGUUUUUUUGU
RNAcentral lists this long non-coding RNA (600 nucleotides) under Lathyrus oleraceus (garden pea). RNAcentral's name for it is "Pisum sativum (pea) long non-coding RNA (PSAT_LNC040053)". The record is from RNAcentral. Lineage: Eukaryota; Viridiplantae; Streptophyta; Magnoliopsida; Fabales; Fabaceae.